GGCGUAGGCGGUAAAAGAAGUCAUCUGUGAAAACCUAUUGCUCAACGAUAGGCUAGCGGAUGAAACUGAAUUACUUGAGGGCACCAGAGGUAGACGGAAUUACCCGAGUAGGGGUGAAAUCCGCAGAUACGGGUAGGAACGCCGGUGGAGAAGUCGGUCUACUGGGGUGCACCAGACGCUGAGGCCCGAAAGCUAGGGGAGCAAACCG
RNAcentral lists this ribosomal RNA (208 nucleotides) under uncultured Defluviitoga sp. Its description in RNAcentral is "partial 16S ribosomal RNA". It matches the Rfam family "Bacterial small subunit ribosomal RNA", at positions 568 to 775 of the family's 1533-position model. The record is from RNAcentral. Lineage: Bacteria; Thermotogati; Thermotogota; Thermotogae; Petrotogales; Petrotogaceae.